Molecule: small nucleolar RNA, 71 nt
Filed under: Lottia gigantea (owl limpet)
Lineage: Eukaryota; Metazoa; Mollusca; Gastropoda; Lottiidae
Description: Small nucleolar RNA SNORD2
Rfam family: Small nucleolar RNA SNORD2
Source: Rfam by way of RNAcentral
UAGUGUAGUGAUGUUUUACCAUCUUUCGGGGCAUAUAAUUGCUGAUGAUAUUUUUAUUUUACUGAACACUA